RNAcentral lists this small nuclear RNA (79 nucleotides) under Canis lupus familiaris (dog). RNAcentral describes it as "U4 spliceosomal RNA". It matches the Rfam family "U4 spliceosomal RNA", at positions 1 to 77 of the family's 138-position model. Rfam says of the family: U4 small nuclear RNA (U4 snRNA) is a component of the major U2-dependent spliceosome. The structure of U4 snRNA from yeast and human has been reported. RNAcentral also lists the same sequence under 1 other name. Lineage: Eukaryota; Metazoa; Chordata; Mammalia; Carnivora; Canidae. The record is from Rfam by way of RNAcentral.
AGCUUUGCACAAUGGCAGUAUUGUAGCCAUUGAGGUUUAUCGAGGUGCGUUUGUUGCUAAUUGAAAAAAAUAGACUCCA